GGGCGCUUAGCUCAGUUGGUUAGAGCGUGUGACUUACAUUCACAAGGUCAGGGGUUCAAGUCCCUUAGCGCCCACCA
Molecule: transfer RNA, 77 nt
Filed under: Candidatus Omnitrophota bacterium
Lineage: Bacteria; Pseudomonadati; Candidatus Omnitrophota
Description: tRNA-Val
Rfam family: tRNA
About the family: Transfer RNA (tRNA) molecules are approximately 80 nucleotides in length.
Source: RNAcentral